RNAcentral lists this ribosomal RNA (237 nucleotides) under uncultured Actinomycetales bacterium. Its description in RNAcentral is "partial 16S ribosomal RNA". It matches the Rfam family "Bacterial small subunit ribosomal RNA", at positions 97 to 334 of the family's 1533-position model. The record is from RNAcentral. Lineage: Bacteria; Bacillati; Actinomycetota; Actinomycetes; Actinomycetales.
GGCGAACGGGUGAGUAACACGUGAGUAACCUGCCCUUGACUUUGGGAUAACUUCAGGAAACUGGGGCUAAUACCGGAUAGGAGCUCCUGCUGCAUGGUGGGGGUUGGAAAGGUUUCGGCGGUUGGGGAUGGACUCGCGGCUUAUCAGCUUGUUGGUGGGGUAGUGGCUUACCAAGGCUUUGACGGGUAGCCGGCCUGAGAGGGUGACCGGCCACAUUGGGACUGAGAUACGGCCCAG